GAUGAACGCUAGCGCUAGGCUUAACACAUGCAAGUCGAGGGGCAGCAUGGUCUUAGCUUGCUAAGACUGAUGGCGACCGGCGCACGGGUGCGUAACGCGUAUGCAACUUGCCUCACAGAGGGGGAUAACCCGUCGAAAGACGGACUAAUACCGCGUACACUCCAUCUUGGGCAUCCAAGGUAGAGGAAAUGAAAUUCGCUGUGAGAUAGGCAUGCGUCCCAUUAGCUAGUUGGUGAGGUAACGGCUCACCAAGGCGACGAUGGGUAGGGGAACUGAGAGGUUGAACCCCCACACUGGUACUGAGACACGGACCAGACUACUACGGGAGGCAGCAGUGAGGAAUAUUGGUCAAUGGGCGAGAGCCUGAACCAGCCAAGUAGCGUGAAGGAUGACUGUCUUAUGGAUUGUAAACUUCUUUUAUACGGGAAUAACAAGAGUCACGUGUGACUCCCUGCAUGUACCGUAUGAAUAAGCAGCGGCUAACUCCGUG
This 490-nucleotide ribosomal RNA is filed under the name uncultured bacterium. RNAcentral describes it as "partial 16S ribosomal RNA". It matches the Rfam family "Bacterial small subunit ribosomal RNA", at positions 28 to 507 of the family's 1533-position model. The record is from RNAcentral.